RNAcentral lists this ribosomal RNA (372 nucleotides) under uncultured organism. RNAcentral's name for it is "bacterial SSU rRNA". It matches the Rfam family "Bacterial small subunit ribosomal RNA", at positions 526 to 896 of the family's 1533-position model. The record is from RNAcentral.
CAGAGGGGGCGAGCGUUAUUCGGAAUUAUUGGGCGUAAAGGGCGCGUAGGCGGCUUUGCAAGUGACGGGUGAAAGCCCUCGGCUUAACCGAGGAACUGCCUGUCAGACUGUGAGGCUUGAGACCGGGAGAGGUGAGUGGAAUUCCCAGUGUAGCGGUGAAAUGCGUAGAUAUUGGGAGGAACACCAGUGGCGAAGGCGGCUCACUGGACCGGAACUGACGCUGAGGCGCGAAAGCGUGGGGAGCAAACAGGAUUAGAUACCCUGGUAGUCCACGCCGUAAACGAUGAGUGCUUGGUGUAGCGGGUAUCGACCCCUGCUGUGCCGAAGUCAACACAUUAAGCACUCCGCCUGGGGAGUACGGUCGCAAGACUG